GAUGAACGCUGGCGGCGUGCUUAACACAUGCAAGUCGAACGAUGAAGCCCAGCUUGCUGGGUGGAUUAGUGGCGAACGGGUGAGUAACACGUGAGCAACCUGCCCCUGACUCUGGGAUAAGCGCUGGAAACGGCGUCUAAUACUGGAUAUGUCCCGUCACCGCAUGGUGUGCGGGUGGAAAGAUUUUUCGGUUGGGGAUGGGCUCGCGGCCUAUCAGCUUGUUGGUGAGGUAAUGGCUCACCAAGGCGUCGACGGGUAGCCGGCCUGAGAGGGUGACCGGCCACACUGGGACUGAGACGCGGCCCAGACUCCUACGGGAGGCAGCAGUGGGGAAUAUUGCACAAUGGGCGGAAGCCUGAUGCAGCAACGCCGCGUGAGGGAUGACGGCCUUCGGGUUGUAAACCUCUUUUAGCAGGGAAGAAGCGAAAGUGACGGUACCUGCAGAAAAAGCACCGGCUAACUACGUG
Molecule: ribosomal RNA, 467 nt
Filed under: uncultured bacterium
Lineage: Bacteria
Description: partial 16S ribosomal RNA
Rfam family: Bacterial small subunit ribosomal RNA
Source: RNAcentral